CUUUGGGCUAAAUGUAACUGAAAUGAUAAUUCAAAAUGGCUUAAGCAAUGAAGACAUUUAUUAUCUCCUUAACAGGGAAUCUAGAAUAGGGUAGGCUUCAGGGUUGGCUGAUGCAGCAGCUCUGCAGUUUUGUCAGAGCCAGGUUCCUUAGAUGACAUUUUCUACCAUCCACAGAGUUAGUGUCAUCCUAAGGUUGGUGUCAAUUAGGGCAAUGGUCGUCCUUCUUCUCAUCUAGUAAGACAGACGAAGAUACGAUGGGGUCUAAGUUCUUCUUGUCAGUUUCCUUGGCCAGGCUUGAUCAUAGGCCCACGCUGAACUGGUAAUUGUGGCAGUGGGAAAGACAUGCACUUCUUGGUUUAGAGUCCAGAGGUUUCCAUCUUACGCUGAGAAUGGGUUACACAUGUAGAGAUAUUGAUCCCUUCAGGCCUUAGGGCUGCCAUUUUUUCUUGCCCCAAAGCCACUGUCGCAUCUCGCCAGUCAUCUCCAAGCAGAGUGGCCUCUUCCUUUUAUCCUACAGGCUAUACAAGCACUGUUUUUUUUUUUUAAUUCGUCACAUCACAAAAAAAUCUAGAAGCAUUGGCUUAGGUGAUGGAUACAGUCCCUUUCCAGAAGCAUGGAGAUGUGUAGAACAGAAGUAUAUCUCUUACUAAUAUCAGGGUAAGAAGGAAGAAGGGGUCAUGGAUGAUGCAUACAAAACUUCCAUGCCCACAGGAUAUAAAUAAAAUCCAAAUCUGAUAAUCAUUUAUUAGACCUAUAAAAAUCAAGUCAAAAUUUCCUCAAAAGAUUGAAAAAUCCUUAAAAUGGUGAAGAAGAUUGCCAAGCCAAGAAAGGGCACUGAAUGAAUGUAAAGUCUUUCAAAGUGUGAUUGUUUUAGGUAAAGCAAUCUGAUGAAUUCUUCUGUUUUCAUAUUACAUACAAUAUGUUUAUGUUUCAGUAUCUCUCAUGUGCUUUCGUGAUUUUGAUAUCUUUAAUAGAGUAUUUAGAUAUUUUAUUGUUUAAGAGUAGAUGAUACUUAGAAAGCAUUCAUCCAUGUCAGGCAAGAACUGUAUUAAUUCAUUUAAUCUUCACUAUAGGCCCAUGAUGAUAUACAAUUUUUAAAUCCAUUUUGCAGAUGAGAAAAUUGAGAAAUAGAGAGGUUAAUUAAUUUGCCCAAUAAAACACAGCUAGUAAGCACCAGAACCUGUGACUGAACCCAGAAAAUUUAGUUUCCAAAUUGUUUUUAUUAUAAGUUGAUUCAGGAUGCUCUGGAAGACACAGUGGUCUAAUCCAGUGGGUACUAAAUGUUUGUCUAUGAGCUGCAAUAAAAAAAUAAAAUGUUUAUUAUAACUUAAUGCACACACACUAAAAAAUCUUAAAACAAUACUUACUAUGGAGGCAAGCAUUCUGCUAUUUCUGUUCCAUUCCAUUCUCUUCUUUGUUCUAUUCUUUUUUUUUUUUUUUUUGAGACAGAGUCUUGCUCUGUCACCCAGGCUGGCAUGCAGUGUCCUGAUCUCAGCUCACUGCAAGCUCCACCUCCCAGGUUCACACCAUUCUCCUGCCUCAGCCUCCCAAGCAGCUGGGACUACAGGCGCCCGUCACCACACCCGGCUUUUUUGUAUUUUUAGUAGAGAUGGGGUUUCACUGUGUUAGCCAGGAUGGUCUCGAUCUCCUGACCUCGUGAUCCACCUGCCUUGGCCUCCCAAAGUGCUGGGAUUACAGGCGUGAGCCACCACGUCUGGCCUGUUCUAUUCUUUAAAAAAUCAGCUGUGACCCACAAAAUUAAUUCUAGGACUAGUAAUGGGUCACGAUAAACAAUUUUUAAAGCCCUGGUAAUAUAAUAGGAUUGAAUACAGCAAUUACGGGGAUGACUUAGAUGCUCAAUGGUUGUUUUAGUCUGUUUGCGCUACUGUAACAAAAUGCCAUAAACUGAAUAGCUUAUAAAGAACAGAAAUUUUUUCUCACAGUUUUGAAGGCUAGGCAGUCCAAAAUGAAGGCACCAGCAGAUUCAGUGUCUGGUGAGGACCUGUUCCUGGUUCAUAGACAGCCCUCUUCUCUCUGUGUCCUCACAUGGUCAAAACGGAGAGGAGGCUCUCUGGAAUACCCUUUAUAAGAGCACUGAUCCCAUUAAUGGGGGCUUCACUCUCAUAACCUAAUCACCUCCCAAUGGCCCCACCUCCUGAUACCAUCACCUUAGGGGUUAAGAUUUCAACAUAUGAAUUAGGAGGGUUAGGGGAGAAACUUCAAACCAUAGCAGUGGUCAUUUUUGAGCCAGAGGUCUAGUUCAGGAAGAACACGGAGGUGGCAGGCUGAAGAUUAAAGGCAUAACUGGGUUCCAAAGGAAACUGAUCUCAAGGUUCCAAGAGAACUUUGAAGGGUUUUGAGUUGUGAGUAAUUAACUGGAUAUAAGAGCUGGGAGUCAGUAGCAAAUAGUGGAAAACCAAUCAAAGGUAUGUGGAUGAGACCACUGGGGAAGAAUGUGUGAAGUGGGAAGACAAGAGGCCCAGAACAGAACUGCAAGGAAUAGCAGUGUUUAUAAGAGGAGGUGAAGAAGUGCCUGCUGGAGAGGAAACUGUGGAACUGGAGUAGGAGGAGGCCACAGGGAAGCAUGGUGUCAACAGAAGCCAAGAAGGUUUGGAGAUGUAGCUGGUGUCAGCUACAGCAAAGUGAUCACAUAUCAGAGGUGCUGAAAAUAGUUUGUUGGAUCAGUAUUUAUGAUUCAAUAGCAUAUUAAUUUAUUCUCAUGCUGCUAAUAAAUACAUACCCAAGACUUGGUAAUUUAUAAAGAAAAAGAUUUUUAAUGGACUCAGUUCCACAUGGCUGGAAAGGACUCACAAUCAUGGUGGAAGGCGAAGGAGGAGCAAAGGCAUGUCUUAACAUGGUGGCAGGCAAGACAGUAUGUGCAGGGGAACUGCCCUUUAUAAAACCAUCAGAUCUCAUGAGACUUUUUCCCUAUUACAAGAACAGUACAAACAGACAAAAAUUCCAUGCUCACAGAUAGGAAGAAUCACUAUUGUGAAAAUGACCAUACUGCCCAAAGUAAUUUAUAGAUUCAAUGCUAUUCCCAUCAAGCUACCAUUGACUUUCUUCACAGAAUUAGAAAAAACUACUUUAAAUUUCAUAUGAAACCAAAAAAGAGCCAUAUAGCCAAGACAAUCCUAAGUAAAAAGAAUAAAGCUGGAGACAUCAUACUACCUGACUUCAAACUAUACUGCAAGGCUACAGUAACCAAAACAGCAUGGUACUGGUACCCAAAGAGAUAUAUAGACCAAUGGAACAGAACAGAGGCCUCAGAAAUAACACCACACACCUACAACUGUCUGAUCUUUGACAAACCUGACAAAAACAAGAAAUGGGGAAAGGAUUCCCUAUUUAAUAAAUGGUGCUGGGAAAACUGGCUAGCCAUAUGCAGAAAACAAACUGGACCCCUUCCUUAAACUGUAUACAAAAAUUAACUCAAGAUGGAUUAAAGACUUAAACAUAAAACCUAAAAUCAUAAAAACCCUAGAAGAAAACCUAGACAAUACCAUUCAGGACAUAGGCAUGGGCAAAUACUUCAUGACUAAAACACGAAAAGCAAUGGUGACAAAAGCCAAAAUUGACAAAUGGGAUCUAAUUAAACUAAAAAGCUUCUGCACAGCAAAAGAAACUAUCAUCAGAGUGAACAGGCAGCCUACAGAAUGGGAGGAAAUUUUUGCAAUCUAUCCAUCUAACAAAGAUCUAAUAUCCAGAAUCUACAAGGAACUUAAACAAAUUUAUAAGAAAAAAAAUAACCCCAUAAAAAAGUGGGCAAAGGAUGUGAACAGACACUUCCCAAGAGAAGACAUUUAUAUGAUCAACAAACAUAUGAAAAAAAGCUCAUCAUCAGUGGUCAUUAGAGAAAUGCAAAUCAAAACCACAAUGAGAUACCAUCUCAUGCCAGUGAGAUGACAUUGAGGGUCUUAAUUGACCACAAAACUCAAUAUGGAUGAAAAUAUGAAGUAGCUACCAGAAAAUUGAAUGCCAUUUUAGACUGCAUUAAUAAAAAAUUGUGUCUGGAGAAGGUUUUGGAGUAUUGCACCUACAAACCAUCUAUAAACAAUUAUAAAACAAUGAAGGCCAUGUGCUCAAACUAGUCAAAAACUAAAAUAGAAAGAAAAAUAGGAUAGAGAAGGAGAUGGCCUUUGAAAUGGGCCUUGAAAUAUUCGUAGAAUUUUGAUAGGUAGAGAUGGCAGUCAGACAUUCCAAACUGACUUAAUGUGUUUUUGUUUUUGUUUUAAUUUUAGAGACAGGGUCUCACUCUGUCACCCACACUGGAGAGCAGUGGUACAAUUAUGGCUUAUUGCAGCCUCAAACUCCUGGGCUCAACAGAUCCUCCUGCUUUAGCCUCCCAAGUAGCUAGGGCUACAGGCACAAGCCAUCAUGCCCUGAGGGUCAGCUGCAGCCCUGUUUUAGAAAUAGUUUGGAAUCAGGGGCUAGAACAGCAGCCAGGAUUCUGGCUUUCUCUCUCACCUCACUGUUGUCUUCAUGCCUGCUUCAUUCAUCUCUUUUUGCAGAUUGGCAUCCUCUGCUUCUGCAGAAAACAUGGCUACCAACAGCUUCUGUAUCCACCUGCGGAGGAGACUGACUGCUCUGUUAUUCCCCCAGCAUCUGUGAAGAGGCUCUGACUGGCUAAAGUGUUGGUAUAGUGAUCACCCCAGGGUUAGGCAACCAUGGCUGGUGAAAAGGAAAAACGUUAUGAACCUGGCUGUGCGGAGCUACCUGAGGAAGCUUGUAGGAGAAGGGUCAGUUUGCAGAGAAAGGGGGGCCUGGGCAGAUGACGCAAGAGGUGCCCAUUACAUCCCUCUAGAGGUGAGCUGUCUAAAAUGGUAGGCACUGGCCACCUGUACUUAUUUAAUUGUAAAUGUAAAUUUCUUAAAAUUUCCUUAGACACAUUAGCCUCAUCUCGAGUGCUCAAUAGCCACAUGUUGCCAGUGGCUACUGUAUUGAGCAGUAAAGAUAUAGGACAUUUCCCUCAUUGCAGACAUAGUGGACACCUCUCCUCUAGAGUUAUCUGUGGUUCUACCAGCAAAAGCCCAGGUGUUCCAGCUAGAGAAACAGCAAAUUUCUCUGGGACAUGAACAACUAGAAAACAUCUCACCUUGUCCUCCAAUAACUUGGAAAGAAUUUUUUUUGGUUGGAGACCCCAGAACUGGUUCUUGCUUUUGUUUGUUUGUUUGUUUGUUUUGUUUUGUUUUUGAGACAGUGUCUUGCUCUGUCACCCAGGCUGGAGUGCAGUGGCGUGAUCUAGGCUCACUGCAACCUCCGCCUCCUGGAUUCAAGGGAUUCUCGUACCUCAGCCUCCUGAGUAGCUAGGACUACAGGUACACACCGCCACGCCCAGCUAAUUUUUGUGUUUUUAGUAGGGAUGGGGUUUUGCCAUGUUGGCCAGGCUGGUCUCGAACUCCUGCCCUCAGGUGAUCCACCCACCUCAGGCUCCCAAAGUGCUGGGAUUACAGGCGUGAGUCACCAUGCUUGGCCUGGUUCUUGAUUAUAUCCGAUUUGAGCACUGAGCAAAGCCUCCUAAUCUCAUCAUGCCUGAAUUCUUAGACUACCUUACCCCCAAAUUUCAAAGAUAAUUAAUUCAGUCAUCCAUCUCAUCUUUGUUACGCCAGGAUACCAGACAAAUGCAAUUCCUUUUAGUUAACUGUCUUGUCCAGUUCCCGUAAUGUUCCGUUUCUUCUGCUGGUUUCCUUCUUAGUCUUGUCCAUUAUGCCUUAUCAAAACUUUACAUGGCAGAGAUGGCUAGCUGUCCCCUAAAAUUCAGCAUCCCCUUUCACAGUGUAGAGAUGUCAGUUGAAUUUGGCUGCCCAGCCAGGAACCGCAUCUUCCAGCCCUUCCUGCAUCCAGAUUAUGCCAUGUGACUAGUUUUCAUCAAUGAAAUGAGAAAGAGAUUUAUGUCACCUCCCAGAUGGGGUUUUUUAAAAGCAUGAUUGUUUUCUCUACUCUCUUCCCCUAUCUGAAUAGGAAGGAGUCUGUAGCUUUAGGGGAAGACAGAGCCACAAGAUGGAAGGAGCUUGGAUGUCUGAACUAUUCCAUGGAGAAAAGCUGCAGCCAACGAAGAACACCUGCAAUGGACUCUUAACCUGGGGGUGACGACAACCACUGAAAUGUGAGGGCUUAUUCGUUAGCAUUUGUCUAGCAUUACCCUAACUGAUAUCUAAUUAAUUUCCUUACAUCCUCAAACUUCUUGCCUUAAAUUUAAUCUCCUGCCUGUCCCCCAGGAGUUCAGUUCCCCUCAAGCUUCUGGAAGAGAGGCUGCUCAUUCUUCCACAACAGCCUAGACACCAUGGAGGCUGAGAGAUGGUACUGGCAUUUUCUUUUUUUUUUUUGAGAUGGUGUCUUGCUCUGUCGCCCAUGCUGGAGUGCAGUGGCACGAUCUUGGCUCACUGCAACUUCAGCCUCCCAGGCUCAAGCGAUUCUCUUGCCUCAGCCUCCCAAGUAGCUGGGAUUACAGGUGUGUGCCACAGCUGGCUAAUUUUUGUAUUUGUAGUAGAGAUGGGGUUUCACCAUGUUGGCCAGGCUGGUCUCUAACUGCUGACGUCAGGCAAUCCAUCCAUCUUGGCCUCCCAAACUACUGGGUGUGAGCCACUGCGCCUGGCUGUUAUUGGCAUUUUCUUAACUCCUAGUUGCAUUGUUCAGACCACUUCACAUGUGAAAUUAAUGCCAUCCAACUUUUUUUCCUAGUUGGUGUUCCACACACAGAUUGGCAUUGACAUUGUUAUAGAGCCUGCCUAUGCUCAGGGAGAGAAUUUGAGGAUGAAAGGGAAUAUUGGCAUCAGUGUCUAUGGCAACCUAAAGAAAUGUAUAUGAAUUUGCGUAUACAUCAAGCUCUCUAAUUACCAUGAGGAAAAACAUGAAUUCUUUCCCAGUCUGGUCCCUCUUAUUAGUCUCACUUUUCUUUCCCCCAUCCACCAACUGCAUCAUCUGUCCCAUUUCCAUGGGGUGUGUGGGCAGCUGAGGGAGAUCCAGCAUAAGACAUCAGUGCUGAAAACCCUAGCCUGGAAACACCAAAGGCCAAAUGAGACUCCAUCACAGAAUUUCUAACACAUAUAUCCAAGGUGCAAUGACCCAGUUUGUCAAACCUUUAGAUUAUGUGAUAAUUUACUGAUGAUUCACUUUAGAGAUUUGAAAAUAAAAGUACUUUUAUAUUUUUGUUUUUCUGAAAAUGGUCCCAAAGUUCAAUGAUUUUCUUGCAUAUCUCAAAUAUUACAAUGGGGUGAUUUAAGGCCAGCACAUUUUUGCAGGCUAUCUGAAAAGAACUUACUUUUCCAUAAAGCCCUCUAAGUUUCUUUGCCCUUAUUAGAUUUAUAGCUGAUUCUUUCAAAGCUGACUGUGACCUUGACCUGCAGACAAAAAUAGCAAAAUAUAAAUUUUGUGGAAGGCAGUAGCACUGUCUUUCUUGGAUAAAGUCUGCAUCUCCUACCAAGAAAAAAUCUAAGAGGUAUUGCCAAGCUAAUGCACAUGGUUAAAGUAACUGCCCCAUUGCCCCUUUUCUUUCUUUCUUUUAAUUUUUUUGUUCUAGGUUUACUGCACUUGCCUCUAGCAGUUAUGGAAUUCUAUGCCACUCAAAUCCUCUAUCUGUUGCAAAAAUGUGCAUCCCAAGAUGGUGCUCUUGAGCUGUGGUGCAGUAUCUUCAGACAGACACUGUGGGUCCCACAAUGAAGCAAUGGAGAAAAAAGACACCACUAAAGAACCACCAGGGUGCAGCAUUCCUGAGUGGCAGAAGCCAUGCAGGAAAUGGCAGUAUGUACAGCUGGCACUUUGAAGAACAAUGAAUUCCUUCAAGGCUCUGUGCAGACAUUUCAAACAGUGGAUACCAGACAGGCUUGGCAUAGCUUAGACUCAAUUAUAGCUAGAAUUAUUUUAUUUCUGGGUAGGUAACUGAGAGAAGCAGGAAUUGUGCAUGUAUCUCCAUAUGGUUUUAUUUUUAAAGAAUGAAAUAGCAACAAAUAUAAACAACUGCUGUAACAGCAAAGAGCAUAAUUUCUUCUAAAAUGAGGAUUAUAUUUAGAACACUCCAAAUGGGGACACACUGUCUGACAAGAAGUCAGAAUAUCGGAAAAUGGAAGUGUCUUACUUAAUUAAAUAACCCUGAAGUAAUUUAAUAUCAUGAGUAGGUGAGACUUUUAAAAAGGGUUAAACAAAGGCAUAUCCCUAAGUAGAAAUAUGUAGCCCUAUCACCUGCAAAAUUGUCAUAAAUCUUUGUGUUUUAUUUUCACAGAUGCUGCAUCUUAGUCCAGGGAUUUUUAAAGUGUGGUUCCUGGAAGAGCUGGAUCAGAGUCAUCUGUGUUGAUGGUUUAACAUAAAGAUUUUCGAGCCCCAAGACUCAAGUAGGACAAGGAAUUUGAAUUUUUAAGCAGCUCACCUGACUUGUCUGUCCUCUAAUGUCUGAAGACAUCUGACCUCUGCUCUUUCAGUAAAAGCAACAAUGGUUUUAUGAGCAUUGUCGUCACAUCUCUCCACUCAAGGGAUCCUUCUCAUUUCUCCCAGCUGAGGUCACCCACAGCUGCUGCUUCUAACUGCUGGCUUCCAGCCUGCUGUCUGCCAGCUGGCUCUACCCUCUCCUAUAACACGGCAGAGAGUAGCUGUGGUCUCCUGCGUGCUCACCCUCUGCUCCCUUGGUCCUGCUCCAUGCUUUGGUCCUGCACUUAAAUUUUACAAGCAUACUCUCUUUCUCUUAAGAUGAAGGAGCUGAGGCUGGAGAAGUUAAGAGACCCCUGCUAGAUAGGAAGGCACGUGAGAAGUAUACUGCUCUGUCUCCUGUGGAGUAAAAAGACUUUGGCGUUCUCAGAAGAAAACCAAAUGAGAUCACACGAAUGAGACUGCUGGCUGAAAUCUUUCAGAGACAAGGUUCAAGAGAGCAAGCAAAACAUUGCACGACAAUGAACAGAUCAAGGUAGCCACUCCCAGUCAAGGACUGUAUGAGUUGCCCAGAGCAAGACCUUUUAGGAUAUGGUACAUAGCUGGGAGCCUGCCAACUCCUGAUUUUGUCAUUACCCUCAGAACUCCAGAAUGUAAGCUCCAUGAAGAGGAUGCACCUCCAACAAAACAAUUCUUACAUGGAAUCCUAGAGUCUUUGGAACGUGGUUUGAACACCACCAGCUUUGAGAAGGAAGAGAAAAUCCAGAAGUCAGAAGUGGACCAUGUUGAUCAGGAUCCUACACCUUCCAGUUCACUGGUGAAUAACUUCAUAUUCCUGAAGUUAAGAAGCCUGCCCUGAUGCUCAUGCAGUUACUUUGAGCAAUGACCAAACAGAGAGAGGAAGAAAGAAGUGUUGAAGAAGAGAGAGACAGAAGAAAAUCACCAUAAAAAGUCAGACACGAGAGCUUAGAAGUCAAUUAAGACAGGGCUUGGAAGGGGCAUUAGGUUUUUGGGGAACCGGUGUUACAUGAAAAAAAAAAACACCUCUGUUUGCAUCUGUAGACAAAGAUCUGUUCAGAAUGGUUGGCUUUGUGAGGUGCUGUGAGACAGAGAUGAAAAAGACAAUCUUCCAAGCCUUAGGAAAAAAAUAUUAACCAACCAUCUCUAGGAAAUUGCAAAAUAGUUUCUACUUUAUCAGGAUUUCCAAUUCCAGGUGAAUAGGAUAAAGAUGAUGGUCUUUGGAGGCAAAAAAAGUGUUACUGGGAAAGAAGUGAUAACCAGACACAUUCACAUCAUUAUGCACCAUCUCUGUUCUGAUAGAGAAGCCAAAAGCACAGGGCCAAUCCUUUGCUUAAGUUAUGAGCAUGACAUCUCCACUGAGCUCCAGACUUGUAUAUCCAACUGCCUACUCUCACCUCUACUUAGAUGUCUAAUAAACAUCUUGAUUUCAAUACAUUCCUGAUGGUUAACAUUAGGUAUCAACUUGACUGGAUUGAGGAAUGCCUAAAAGGCUGGUGAAUCAUUGUUCCUGGGUAUGUCUGUGAGGAUGUUUCGAGAGGAAAUUGACAUUUGAGUCAGCGGACUGAGAGAAGGAAGAUCCACCCUCAAUGUGUGUGGGCACCAUCCAAUCAGCUGCCAGCACAGCUAGAACAAAAGAG
RNAcentral lists this long non-coding RNA (10016 nucleotides) under Homo sapiens (human). Its description in RNAcentral is "PREDICTED lncRNA (TCONS_00227014)". The record is from RNAcentral. Lineage: Eukaryota; Metazoa; Chordata; Mammalia; Primates; Hominidae.